This is a non-coding RNA of Physcomitrium patens, 1789 nucleotides long. NCBI's taxonomy places the organism in Eukaryota, Viridiplantae, Streptophyta, Bryopsida, Funariales, Funariaceae. The record is from RefSeq and is a predicted model, not a curated record.
AUUGAAUGAGAAGGUGCACAAGACAUAAUAAAGCAGUCCUAAGAAGUUGAAGCAUGUGUGUUUCAACAGCUGGGUCUCGAUGCUUUCCAUCUUCUAACGUGGAUUUUGUGCACAGCAAAGUUGCAUAGGCAAACAUGAGCUGCACAGUAUUAGGGUUGAAUAUUAGCUUAACAUUUUCCAGGCUAGAAAUUAGGGUUGCAACGUAGCGUUCUUUGAUGUUUUCGUCAUGUGUAGGCUGCAUUCUUCAAAACCAAGGUCAAGUUCCCCACAUGAUAUGAGGCGAUGGUGUCAUUCCGUCACUGGCGUCAAUGCAAGGAAUUUGAAAAUGCUGACAAAUCUUGCGCAACAUCACGAAUCCUGAAGAUUGAAGGUAUGUGUGCACAGAGCGAAGCAUAGGAAAGAUGAUGGGGGAGGCAGGAGCCAUGAGUGUUGUUGAGGUACAGAGGUGGAAGAACUCAGGGAUUGCCUGUAGAACGAUCAUUCAUGUUUUUCUACAGCAUGGGCCCUUCAUUAAUGCCCAUUGCUCGAUUUCAAGGGAGUGAAACAUUCCAAAGACAUUCCUCAGAGGAUAUUAGGAGAAUGGAAUUAAGAGGAGUGAAAAAGAAGACGUCUGCAGAUUGAUGAGGUGGGUUGUUGCAAAAUGGUCUGAGGAUUUUUCGUUCAUGUGGUAAGUGUGGAGCCUCCCUCGCUGUGGUCCCUACGUGAGCAGCUUUGUUGUGUAGCUCUUGUCUGCGUCAGUUGAUUUUUGUUCUGAGGAGUUGCUGUAAUUGAGGUCAUCUAAUUAGUUCCUGGGUUUAAGCUCCGAAACAUAAUGGAGGCUGCUGAGUACAAUCUCUCAGGGCACGUAUGACUUGGUUCCGGAAGGCACCCCCCAGAUGGUUGAGGAUGUCACGAAUGAUGGUUUUGAUGGAUUUAUUUAAACCACGGCCUGAUUGCGUACAUGGAACAAGAGAUCAUAUUCACGUUACCUGCUACAACACUGGGAAACCCAAAGAUCUGGAAGGUAUUUGCCCCUGCUCGGAUGUAACUGCGAGAUGUCCUUCAGAAUUUGUGUGUCUUGAUGUUAGUUGUCACACUGGAAUGAAGGGAGCGGGAGGAGCAGAAUUUUAAAUAGUGGAAACCAUGACGGAAAUAAUCUCGUCCACAUCCAAGAACUCAACGACUUUAACAAGAAAAAUUCAGAAAUUUCCAUGAGAAAUUGAGGUGACAUUUUCGAAAGCUGAUUUCCAAUUGCAAGCAUUAGGAUUUCAGGUGGACUUUCUGAGACCAUGAGUUGUGUAUGUAGCUGUGCUGCCGUUUCGAUUUCACCUGUGGCUCAUGUAUUGAAGAGGGUGCUAGUCAUAGAACGCGAUCUGGGGUUAAAUGACGCUUCCUAAAAUGCUUGCAUUGGUUGUGGUAUCAUGUCCUAAAAGUGAUUUGAAUUGUCAAGGUUUCUUGUCUUUUCAACUAAAACAUUUGUUAAGUGUUGCGACUUGCUCAAGCACAGCCACUUAGAAUUCCAUCCUCGAAGUAGUCCACUAGUAUAAUCUAGAAGAAGCAUCUUAACACAUGGAUAGGGAACUUCUUAGGAGUGGAUUACUGUAACAAUGUAAAUAAGAGAUUAACGGUCCUAGUCUCUCUUCUGAUCCUCUCUUACUUCCUAGAUUUAUGCAGAUUCAUGCAAGUUUAUACAGAUUUAUGCAGAUAUAUACAAGAUAGAAGGCAUAAGACUCUUCUCUUCGAUUAAGUAAUAAGAAACAUUUUGUAAUAAAUUCCAUGAGCUGAAUAUACAUAAAGAUUUUUUCUAUUA